Molecule: ribosomal RNA, 789 nt
Filed under: uncultured bacterium
Lineage: Bacteria
Description: bacterial SSU rRNA
Rfam family: Bacterial small subunit ribosomal RNA
Source: RNAcentral
AGAGUUUGAUCAUGGCUCAGGACGAACGCUGGCGGCGUGCUUAACACAUGCAAGUCGAACGGAAAGGCCCCUUCGGGGGUACUCGAGUGGCGAACGGGUGAGUAACACGUGGGUGAUCUGCCCUGCACUUUGGGAUAAGCCUGGGAAACUGGGUCUAAUACCGAAUAGGACCGCAUGCUUCAUGGUGUGUGGUGGAAAGCUUUUGCGGUGUGGGAUGGGCCCGCGGCCUAUCAGCUUGUUGGUGGGGUAAUGGCCUACCAAGGCGACGACGGGUAGCCGGCCUGAGAGGGUGUCCGGCCACACUGGGACUGAGAUACGGCCCAGACUCCUACGGGAGGCAGCAAUGGGGAAUAUUGCACAAUGGGCGCAAGCCUGAUGCAGCGACGCCGCGUGGGGGAUGACGGCCUUCGGGUUGUAAACCUCUUUCAGUAUCGGCGAAGCUCCAGGAUUUUUCUUGGGGUGACGGUAGGUACAGAAGAAGCACCGGCCAACUACGUGCCAGCAGCCGCGGUAAUACGUAGGGUGCGAGCGUUGUCCGGAAUUACUGGGCGUAAAGAGCUCGUAGGUGGUUUGUCACGUUGUCCGUGAAAACUCACAGCUUAACUGUGGGCGUGCGGGCGAUACGGGCAGACUGGAGUACUGUAGGGGAGACUGGAAUUCCUGGUGUAGCGGUGGAAUGCGCAGAUAUCAGGAGGAACACCGGUGGCGAAGGCGGGUCUCUGGGCAGUAACUGACGCUGAGGAGCGAAAGCGUGGGGAGCGAACAGGAUUAGAUACCCUGGUAGUCCAA